RNAcentral lists this long non-coding RNA (233 nucleotides) under Elaeis guineensis (African oil palm). RNAcentral's name for it is "long non-coding RNA (EGUI_LNC062849)". Lineage: Eukaryota; Viridiplantae; Streptophyta; Magnoliopsida; Arecales; Arecaceae. The record is from RNAcentral.
UUUUUUCUUACUUUUAGCAAUAGUUUUCUGUACUGAUAAAAAUCUUUCUUCCCUUUAGAAUGGAUGACUGAUGUGUACCAACGUAACGGGUUGUGGGUUCCUGAACCGCCGGCUCCAUGGAACCCACCGGGACCAAAAUGGAGUGAAGAAAAAGAGCACAAAAACCAACCAAUGUUGAUGAUCACUGAAUUCAAAAUAACUCACUUGAUACGGACGCAGUAAUAUUGGACCAC